GCUUAGCCCUAAACACAAACAAUUUAUAACCAAAUUAUUCGCCAGAGAACUACAAGCAACAGCUCAAAACUCAAAGGACUUGGCGGUGCUUUAUACCCCUCUAGAGGAGCCUGUUCUAUAAUCGAUAAACCCCGAUAAACCUCACCUCUUCUUGCUACUUCAGCCUGUAUACCGCCAUCUUCAGCAAACCUUAAUAAAGAAUUAAAGUAAGCAUAAGUAUGAACAUAAAAAC
RNAcentral lists this ribosomal RNA (232 nucleotides) under Hypnomys morpheus. RNAcentral's name for it is "partial 12S ribosomal RNA". The record is from RNAcentral. Lineage: Eukaryota; Metazoa; Chordata; Mammalia; Rodentia; Gliridae.